This is a non-coding RNA of Oryza glumipatula, 204 nucleotides long. The record is from Rfam. NCBI's taxonomy places the organism in Eukaryota, Viridiplantae, Streptophyta, Magnoliopsida, Poales, Poaceae.
UUUAAGUGCAAUCAUAAAUUUCUGCGCCUAACUUUAAUCGUCCGUCUUAUUUAAAUUUUUUUAUAAUUAGUAUUUUCGUUGUUAUGAGAUAAUAAAACAUGAAUAAUACUUUACUCGUGACUUAUGUUUUUAAUUUUUUUCAAAAAUUUUUCAAAUAAGACGGAUGGUCAAAGUUGGGCGCAGAAAACUAUAGCCGCACUUAAA